Molecule: ribosomal RNA, 380 nt
Filed under: Forficula mikado
Lineage: Eukaryota; Metazoa; Arthropoda; Insecta; Dermaptera; Forficulidae
Description: partial 16S ribosomal RNA
Source: RNAcentral
GGUAUUUCUUUCUUUCAAUCAACCCGAAUGGGUCCUACGGUUACGAAUUUGUAUAAUUUUCAAAGAAAAGCUUUCCCUCUUUUCUUGUCACCCCAACCAAACAAUCACUUGAUUCUUUUUUUAGGUUCCUGCUCCUUACCCAAAUCAAGAUCACUGUCAAAAUCUACAGGGUCUUCUCGUCUGAUAGAAACAACUUUGCUUUUUGACAAAAAAAUUAAAUUCAACCCUCCGCCGGAGACAGUCGAAACCUCAUGAGAUCCUUCAUUCCAGUUAUCAAUUAAAAAACUAUUGAUUAUGCUACCUUCGCACGGUCAAGGUACCGCGGCUCUUUAACUAAUAGUCAGGGAGCAGAACUUACCUUUUACGCAACCCAAAAGGCA